CACUGCCCUAAUUCCAGUAGCCUGGAUACAAUAUAAGGGACGCAGAGAGGUUUGCCUUGUCCCUUGUUGCUUUGUUACCUUUUGACUGCCAUGAACUGUUUUUCCUCUGUGAUGCCCUCUGCUAUGCCACCCUACCUUGGAGCCAGGUGAUUAUGGACUGAAACCUCUACAAACUGCCCGGACCUCAUAGACUGAACUAUGAACAGCCACUCAACUGGAAAACCUAAAUGCAAUGGGAGGAAUUGGACACCAGGCAGGGGCCAACUGGUGACACUUGACCACCAAAGACAAGGUGGGUAUAGUUACUGUCAUGGCAGCAGAGUCAAAGCUGCAAUCAGAAUUGUCUGUCACCUCCCCUUAGCAAGAAUGGCUCUUAUCAAAAAGGCAAAAGAUCCUAGGUGCUGGUGAGGAUAUGGAGAAAAGAAGCCUUUGCGUACUGUUGGUGGGAAUGUAAAUUAGUGUUGUCAUUAUGGAAAACUAUGAAAGAAAAAAAUUGAAAACAGAACUGCUGCAUGAUCCAGCAAUCUUACUCCUGGGUAUAUAUCCAAUGGAGAUGAAAUCAGUAUGUUGAAGAGACAUCUGCACACCUGUGUGCAUAGUGCCCUAGCCACUCAGCACGCUGUGUGGGGAGCGUCACUGGAGUCGAAAAGGACAGGGCCAGCCUGCACCACAAGUGAGGCCUAGUCUCACAAAAUAAAACAGAAAACAAAACAAAACAAAAACAGCAACAACAAUACAACCAAAAAAUCCACGUUAUACAGUGUGUACAUGUAUCAAAACAUCAAGUUGCCUCAUUAAUAUGUACAGUGAUUUUGACUGCAUGGAUCAGUUAAAAAAUAAAACGAAUUUAAAAAUUAGCCUGACUCCUGCAGACCUAUAUGGUCUAGUGGAUGUAACUGGAUCUUGGAGGCAACUUCCUCAUCUGGGUGUGUUACUCUGCCCCAUUCACCAAGAGACUGGAAAAGCUUCUAGCCUUGUGUGGGGCUCAAAACAAGAAAAGGCUCUGCCACAGGUCCCUCCUUGGCACUUUCCCCAUGUUGGGAGGCACUGGAGUGACCUUAGAUAUUUUGGGGAUCUGGCUGAGGGGAAGUUGAAUUUAGGAUACAUUUAGUUGGGAUUUAGAAGAGUAUAUUUGUGUAGUUUACAACCCUUUUUGUGUUUAAUUAUGUUAUUGCCAGUUAUCCUGGCAUGGGAAUGCUUCUGCAACCUCUAAAACAGUAACCUAUUAAUGAAUGCCAACCAUGCACAAUAUUUAGGGUUUGUUGUUACACAAGAGAUCUUGAAAUACCUUGAAAAUUUACACCUUAUACAUAAAGGAAAUUUGAUGAGGGUUGCCCAAAUUUGACAACUAUCCUAAAAAUUUUAUUUGAUGUUACUAAAACAUUGAGG
Heterocephalus glaber (naked mole-rat) is the source of this 1389-nucleotide long non-coding RNA. Lineage: Eukaryota; Metazoa; Chordata; Mammalia; Rodentia; Bathyergidae. The record is from Ensembl.